AUUGAACGCUGGCGGCAGGCCUAACACAUGCAAGUCGAACGAGUGGCGGACGGGUGAGUACUGUCUGGGAAACUGCCCGAUGGAGGGGGAUAACUACUGGAAACGGUAGCUAAUACCGCAUACCAUCAGAUGUGCCCAGAUGGGAUUAGCUAGUUGGUGGGGUAACGGCGCACCAAGGCUACGAUCCCUAGCUGGGCUGAGAGGACGACGCGCCACACUGGCACUGAGCCACGGUCCCUACGCCUACGGGAGGCAGCCGUGGCGGAUAGUGCACAAUGGGCGCAAGCAUGUUGCAGCCAUGCCGCGUGUAUGAAGAAGGCCUUCGGUUUGUAAAGUACUUUCAGCGGGGAGGCGUUACCCGCAGAAGAAGCACCGGCUAACUCCGUGCCAGCAGCCGCGGUAAUAC
RNAcentral lists this ribosomal RNA (406 nucleotides) under uncultured bacterium. Its description in RNAcentral is "partial 16S ribosomal RNA". It matches the Rfam family "Bacterial small subunit ribosomal RNA", at positions 30 to 526 of the family's 1533-position model. The record is from RNAcentral.